RNAcentral lists this ribosomal RNA (472 nucleotides) under uncultured bacterium. RNAcentral's name for it is "bacterial SSU rRNA". It matches the Rfam family "Bacterial small subunit ribosomal RNA", at positions 355 to 825 of the family's 1533-position model. The record is from RNAcentral.
UGGGGAAUUUUGGACAAUGGGGGCAACCCUGAUCCAGCCAUGCCGCGUGAGUGAAGAAGGCCUUCGGGUUGUAAAGCUCUUUCGGCGGGGACGAAACGGUCCGUGACAACACCACGGACUAAUGACAGUACUCGCAGAAGAAGCACCGGCUAACUACGUGCCAGCAGCCGCGGUAAUACGUAGGGUGCAGGCGUUAAUCGGAAUUACUGGGCGUAAAGCGUGCGCAGGCGGCUCCUUAAGUCAGAUGUGAAAUCCCCGGGCUUAACCUGGGAACUGCAGCUGAUACUGUGUGACUAGAGUCGAAGAGAGGGAAGCGGAAUUUCCGGUGUAGCGGUGAAAUGCGUAGAUAUCGGAAGGAACAUCUGUGGCGAAGGCGGCCACCUGGUUGGAUACUGACGCUGAGACGUGAAAGCGUGGGGAGCAAACAGGAUUAGAUACCCCAGUAGUCCCUGAGCGGGCUGGCAAGGCGCAU